Molecule: ribosomal RNA, 460 nt
Filed under: uncultured bacterium
Lineage: Bacteria
Description: partial 16S ribosomal RNA
Rfam family: Bacterial small subunit ribosomal RNA
Source: RNAcentral
CCUACGGGAGGCAGCAGUGAGGAAUAUUGGUCAAUGGACGAGAGUCUGAACCAGCCAAGUAGCGUGAAGGAUGACUGCCCUAUGGGUUGUAAACUUCUUUUGUCAGGGAGCAAUUGGGUCCACGCGUGGGCUUAGCGAGAGUACCUGAAGAAAAAGCAUCGGCUAACUCCGUGCCAGCAGCCGCGGUAAUACGGAGGAUGCGAUCGUUAUCCGGAUUUAUUGGGUUUAAAGGGUGCGUAGGCGGAAUAUUAAGUCAGCGGUAAAAUGUCGGGGCUCAACCCCGUCGUGCCGUUGAAACUGAUGGUCUAGAGUGGGCGAGAAGUAUGCGGAAUGCGUGGUGUAGCGGUGAAAUGCAUAGAUAUCACGCAGAACUCCGAUUGCGAAGGCAGCAUAACGGCGCCCAACUGACGCUGAAGCACGAAAGCGUGGGUAUCGAACAGGAUUAGAUACCCGGGUAGUC